RNAcentral lists this ribosomal RNA (1296 nucleotides) under Heliconius timareta timareta. RNAcentral describes it as "bacterial SSU rRNA". It matches the Rfam family "Bacterial small subunit ribosomal RNA". Lineage: Eukaryota; Metazoa; Arthropoda; Insecta; Lepidoptera; Nymphalidae. The record is from RNAcentral.
UUUCGAGUGAAUGCUAUCUAGGGACUUGACACAUGCGAGUCGAAUGCCAAAUACUUGUAUUUGAACAUGGCGAACGGGUGAGUAACGAAUAGGCAAGCUACCCAUAGGAUUGGUGGAAUACCAAAUAUUAAAAAGGAUUAAUUCCGCCUAUGGAUGUACCUAUUGAAUAGAUUAGGUAGUUGGUAAGGUAACGGCUUACCAAGCCAAUGAUCUAUAGUUGGUCUGAGAGGACGAUCAACCACAGUGGGAAUGAGAAAGGCCCACACGAGCAAAGUAUCGGCAGCAGUGCGGAAUCUUGGUCAAUGGCCGAAAGGCUGAACCAGUCACCUAGAAGGACGGAUACAUUAAUUUGAUAAAGUCCUAACGGAAAGGAGGAUAAUGACUGUACUUUCCUAUUAAUCCCGACCAAUCUCGUGCCAGCAGUCGCGGUAAUACGAGAGGGNNGUAUCAUAAGACUGGAAGGUAUCGAACUAAAUGAAUAAGAGCUUUUCAGUAACUAUGAAACUAGAGUGUAAUGGAGGAAAGAGGAACUCCGAGAGUAGGGAUGGAAUCUGUUGAUCCUCGGAAGACCGCUUAAGGCGAAGGCUUCUUUCUAACUAAACACUGACGCUGAGGUACGAAAGUAUGGGGAGCAAAACGGAUUAGAGACCCGUGUAGUCCAUACCGUAAACGAUGAGUGCCUUAGAUUGGUUAUUAAUCAGUCUAUAAAUGUAGAUUAAAGCACUCCACCUGGGGAGUACUGCCGCAAGGUUGAAACCCAAAAGUAUAGAGGGUCUUGAAAACCAGCAGUGAAGCAUGUUGUUUAAUGUGAUGAUCCGCACAACAUCUUACCACUCCUUGAAUGCUACACAGGCGUUGCAUGGCUGUCUUCAGUUCGUGUCGUGAGAUGUAAGGUUAAGUCCGCAUAACGAACAAAACCCCUGCAACUAGUUAAUAUCUAGUUGAGCAUCCAGUGAUAAACUGGAAUAAUUGGGACUAAGACAAGCCCUCAUGGCCCUUAUGGAGUGGGCUACAGACGUGCAGCUAGGGGGAAUACAAAAGGAUCCAAUAAGGUAACUUGGAGGUAAUCCCCAAAUUUCCCCUUUGUGGAUUGAGCUCUGUAACUCGAGCUCAUGAAUUAGGAAUUGCUAGUAAUCGUGAAUCACCACGUCACGGUGAAAUUAAAGCUUCAAGAUCUACUAACUGCCUGUCACGGGCUGGGAGUAAGCUAUACCUGAAGUUGUCUAAAAACAUCCAAGGAUAGUAAACGACUGGUCUGAAGUCAUAACAAGGUAGCCGUUCGGGAACGAGUGGCUG